RNAcentral lists this ribosomal RNA (1345 nucleotides) under uncultured bacterium. RNAcentral describes it as "partial 16S ribosomal RNA". It matches the Rfam family "Bacterial small subunit ribosomal RNA", at positions 28 to 1381 of the family's 1533-position model. The record is from RNAcentral.
GACGAACGCUGGCGGCGUGCUUAACACAUGCAAGUCGAACGGAAAGGCCCUGCUUUUGUGGGGUGCUCGAGUGGCGAACGGGUGAGUAACACGUGAGUAACCUGCCCUUGACUUUGGGAUAACUUCAGGAAACUGGGGCUAAUACCGGAUAGGAGCUCCUGCUGCAUGGUGGGGGUUGGAAAGUUUCGGCGGUUGGGGAUGGACUCGCGGCUUAUCAGCUUGUUGGUGGGGUAGUGGCUUACCAAGGCUUUGACGGGUAGCCGGCCUGAGAGGGUGACCGGCCACAUUGGGACUGAGAUACGGCCCAGACUCCUACGGGAGGCAGCAGUGGGGAAUAUUGCACAAUGGGCGGAAGCCUGAUGCAGCAACGCCGCGUGCGGGAUGACGGCCUUCGGGUUGUAAACCGCUUUCGCCUGUGACGAAGCGUGAGUGACGGUAAUGGGUAAGAAGCACCGGCUAACUACGUGCCAGCAGCCGCGGUGAUACGUAGGGUGCGAGCGUUGUCCGGAUUUAUUGGGCGUAAAGGGCUCGUAGGUGGUUGAUCGCGUCGGAAGUGUAAUCUUGGGGCUUAACCCUGAGCGUGCUUUCGAUACGGGUUGACUUGAGGAAGGUAGGGGAGAAUGGAAUUCCUGGUGGAGCGGUGGAAUGCGCAGAUAUCAGGAGGAACACCAGUGGCGAAGGCGGUUCUCUGGGCCUUUCCUGACGCUGAGGGGCGAAAGCGUGGGGAGCGAACAGGCUUAGAUACCCUGGUAGUCCACGCUGUAAACGGUGGGUACUAGGUGUGGGGUCCAUUCCACGGGUUCCGUGCCGUAGCUAACGCUUUAAGUACCCCGCCUGGGGAGUACGGCCGCAAGGCUAAAACUCAAAGGAAUUGACGGGGCCCCGCACAAGCGGCGGAGCAUGCGGAUUAAUUCGAUGCAACGCGUAGAACCUUACCUGGGUUUGACAUGGAUCGGGAGUGCUCAGAGAUGGGUGUGCCUCUUUUGGGGUCGGUUCACAGGUGGUGCAUGGCUGUCGUCAGCUCGUGUCGUGAGAUGUUGGGUUAAGUCCCGCAACGAGCGCAACCCUUGUUCACUGUUGCCAGCACGUUAUGGUGGGGACUCAGUGGAGACCGCCGGGGUCAACUCGGAGGAAGGUGGGGAUGACGUCAAGUCAUCAUGCCCCUUAUGUCCAGGGCUUCACGCAUGCUACAAUGGCUGGUACAGAGAGUGGCGAGCCUGUGAGGGUGAGCGAAUCUCGGAAAGCCGGUCUCAGUUCGGAUUGGGGUCUGCAACUCGACCUCAUGAAGUCGGAGUCGCUAGUAAUCGCAGAUCAGCAACGCUGCGGUGAAUACGUUCCCGGGGCU